RNAcentral lists this unclassified non-coding RNA (498 nucleotides) under Hevea brasiliensis (rubber tree). Lineage: Eukaryota; Viridiplantae; Streptophyta; Magnoliopsida; Malpighiales; Euphorbiaceae. The record is from RNAcentral.
AAAAAAAAUGCUAAAUGAUUCUUUGUUAAAUUUUAAAUAUAUAACUGAAAGCUGCAGAACUCAAACUUUAAAUUCUAUGUUUGGUAGCCCAUUACCACUGGAUGGAGUUGGGGAUUUCACCUUUUCUCAGGAUGGAGAGAGCAUAUUCAGCAGUGUUGAUAACAUCAUUGAUGUUGUGGAGGGAUCUCUCCUCGGAAGCCAGCAUGAAGAUGGCACGAACUUCAGCCUUCUUAGCCAGUCUAGCAGCUAAAUUAAGAGGCAAAUUUGGAGAGUUGAGGCUGCGCAAUAUUUGGCGAUAAAGAGAAAUAACAUGUCCUCUAUUCCUUGCCAGAUCUUCAGCUGUUGCCCAUAUCAGACCUUUUGCCAUUACUGUUUCAGUUCAAUUGCAGCAGCCACGGCGAUGGCUUCGAGUUGGUGAUCGACCGCGACGGCGAGAGUGGGAGAGAGCAGUAAUGGUGAACGACAAUGGCGGUGGUGGCUUCUAAACUGACGGGCUUG